RNA transcript from Rosa chinensis, 3847 nucleotides. RefSeq lists it as uncharacterized. The transcript is spliced from 14 exons. Lineage: Eukaryota; Viridiplantae; Streptophyta; Magnoliopsida; Rosales; Rosaceae. The record is from RefSeq and is a predicted model, not a curated record.
ACACUUGUACUGAGCUAUGCCAACUUCUGUAGUUCACAGUGUUUUGUGAUUUUACCAAAGCUUCAUCAACCACUAAACAGCCUAACCUAUCCUGCUAAGUCCUUCUCUCACCUCCAUUAUUUUUUCUAACCUCUCUCUCCUCUCUCUAACAUAUACAUAUACACUUUCACCACUCUUAUAUGGUGCCCUGUUCUUCUUUGGACAUUCCCCAGAAAUGAGAAAUGUCUCUCAUUUUCCUGUAGAUGUCAGACUCUAGGCUUCUUAUUCUGAAUUUGAGGCUUCAUCUGAAAUGGCUUUGCUUAGAGUUUCAUGGGCUGUUUUGUUUCUUUGGGUUUUCUCAGUUUUGUGCUUAGAGGCACAGUCUGAUAGUUCAGAGGUCUCUCUUAAGUUCUUGAAAGCUCCUCAUGCAUUUUCUCAUCUGAACUCAGCCACAUUUGCAUUUGAAGCUUUGGUUGGUGGGAAUGCUAGCACAUGCACCAAUUGCAGUUUCAGUUGCAAGCUAGAUGAUGGCAUUGGUUCGAAUUGUGGAACUGGGAAAGUUUUGUACUCAGGAUUGCAGGAUGGAAAGCAUACAUUUGAUGUCUGCACCAAUGGGACUCAAGGAGCUGGUUGUGCCUACUAUAACUGGACUGUUGAUACAGUACCCCCAACAGCAUCUGUUACUGCCUCAAGAUCUUUUACAAAUGCUACGAGUGUAUCAGUAAAUAUUUCUUUCAGUGAAUCCUGCAACGGCGGAGGAGGUUUUGGAUGCUCAUCUGUGAACACCUGCAACCUGCUAGUCUAUGGUGCUGGCGAAGUUAUACCAUCUUCACUUAAUAUUCUGGAGCCAAACCUCAAAUAUUCUCUUGAUGUGGGUUUAUCAUCUUCUGUUCACUAUGGACGAGUGAUCCUGGUAAUGGAUAAGAACUUCUGCUCUGAUGUUGCUGGAAACAGAUUCGUAAGAACCAAAAAUUCACGUUUCUAUGUACGCAUUGAUAGAAGACCUGUCUUUUCCAACCUGAGGAUUCAUAUUCCUGAAACACUGCUUCAGUUAAAUGGUGAAACUCGAACAGUGCAGGCGACUAAUAAUCAUAAUAACUUAAAGAUGUAUCUAUAUUUCUCAGAACCUGUCCUGAAUACAUCUGCACAAAUUUUAAACACUAUCAACAUAAGUCAGGGCUUACUUUUACCGGAUAGCACAAAGAACUCUGGAAAUCGCAGAUUUGGCUUUGCGGUUUCAAACACAUCUAGCAUUGCUAUAAUCACGGUGAGCCUCGAUUCAAAUUUGAUAAUAACCAGACAAGGGACUCCAGUUUCUCCAAUUUCACCAGCAACUUUCCUUUUCGAUUCUCAAAGGCCUGCAGUGAAGUUGAGUACAACCUCAAGCAUGAGAACAAGAGAAGACACUAUUUCUAUAUUAAUAAAAUUCAUGAAGCCUGUAUUUGGUUUCAACUCUUCUUCUUUAGCACUCUCAGGAGGGCAUUUACAAAGCUUUUGUGAAGUAAGUAGGAGUAUGUACACUGUCAAUAUAGAAGCAAUUAAUGAUAUUGUUUCGGUCAAUGUUCCUGAAAAUGUAACUGGGGAUGUUGCUGGAAACAAAAAUCUAGCAUCAAAUGUUCUUCAAGUAUCACACUAUUCAGUGCCCAUGAUAUCUUCUCUGGUAUUUGCAUUUGUGACUGCUCUUUUUGCAUUGACAUCCAUAACUGCGGGGCUGCUUUCUAUUUCAACUGCAAGCCUUCAAUCCCUUUGGACAUUUAGGAGAGCAUCUUCUUUGGCAUCUCAUCCAGCAAGAAAUCUUUUCAGAAUUGCUUGUCAUAUUCAAAUCUUUGCACUCUCUAGAUGGUUGGCAGUUACAUUGCCAGUUGAUUAUUAUGAAUUUGCAAGGGGUUUACAAUGGAGUAUUCCUCACUUUAAUCUCCCAUGGGAAGCUGGGCAAAGCUUCCAAGCCUCAAUUCCUUCCACCAGCUCAAAGUCCUACAGGACUGAAGGCUAUGAUUCAGAAAUUUUCAAAAGCAUGCAACUAGAAGAAGAGAGUUCUAAUAAGGUUACUUCAGUAUAUGGGUUGCCACUUACUCCAAUGGAAUACAGAAUGUUUUUUGAGUUGGAGGGUGAAAAUAUUAAACCUGAAGCCGAAUAUCUCUCCAGUUCUUAUAACUCGAACAGGUGGAGGAAUUUCGAUCGAAGCAUGUUCUGGUUAGCGGUGAUUAGUGGUAGUUUGAUCCUAGUACAUGUUUUACUCCUUUUCAUUCUGAAACUGAGGAAGAAAAGUUCUGAGAGACAGAGCGGUUAUGGAGCACUCACAUUCCCAAGAUUUGAGAUAUUUCUUGUAAUUCUUGCAUUACCUUGUAUUUUUGAGGCCUCAGCUGCACUAGUUAGAGGAGGAGCGUCAUCUGGAGUUAUAGUUGGCAGUCUCUUGUUGGCUGUCACGUCUUUUCUGCUGCUAGUCUUGUUCCUUUUCCUCUCAAUUGGCAUUACAUUUGGAAAGUUACUUCAAUACAAGGAAGUACAUCAAGAAGGCCAGAAAUUUCUCUGGUUUCAAGAUAUUGUCCGAGUGACACUGGGUCCGGGAAAAAGAGGUCAGUGGACAUGGAAAAAAAAACCAAGCUCUGUAUAUCUAAUCAUUUUUGGCCCUCUCUUUGAAGAUCUCAGAGGCCCCCCAAAGUACAUGCUCUCUCAGAUUUCUGUGGGCAAUGCUCGCAAGCAAGGUGAGCGUAUUAUUGACUCUGAUGAUGAAACAGAAGAUGCAGAAGCACCUUUUAUCCAGAAGGUGUUUGGAAUACUCAGAAUAUACUACACACUAUUAGAAUGUUUGAAAAGGGUUUUUGUUGGGAUCAUGGCUGGUGUCUAUAUGGACAGAUGGAACUCUAAAACUCCUUCAAUUACCUUAUUGUGCAUAACCUCUUUUCAACUUUUCUUCCUCGUUCUUAAGAAGCCGUUUAUCAAGAAAAAGGUUCAGUUGGUUGAGAUCAUCUCGGUUUCCAGUGAAGUAGGUUUAUUUGCAACUUGCUUGGUUCUCUUGGAGAAGGAUUUUUCAGCCAGUGACAGCACUAAAGUUGGUAUUUUCAUGAUAAUACUGUUCUUAGUUGGAUACAUUGCACAGAUGAUUAAUGAGUGGUAUGCAUUGUAUAGACAAACAUUGCUUCUGGACCCAGCCGAGAACUCCUUCUUAACUGGUUUUAAAUUAGCUGUAACUGGCUGUCUCUUGUUAUUCAUCCCGCGGAAUUUGAUCAAUAACUUGGAAAGCAAGUUCCAAGCGAGGCAACAGGUGGUGGAAGCAACAAGGGAUUCUAGCUCUUCUGGGAACCGGAGCUCCGGGAGUAGGGGGACCACUCCAACUGAUAAACCAUGGCUAAAACAGCUGAGAGAGUUGGCAAAGUCUAGCUUUAGUAAAGAAGGAAGUAGUGGAGUUGCAAAUGAUCCUUCGAGUAGUAAUACUCGAGCUAGAUGGAGUGGGUUUUGGAGCAGCAAAAGGAGUGGGAGCUCAUCUCAAAAGUCUUCUAGUGAUUCCAAAUCAAAAUCAAGGUUGUACAAUGACUUGGAGGCUAUUUUUGCAUCCAAGUGAAACAAUUUUUACCCCAAUAGUUAGGUUUACAAUUUCUACUGCCACAGAGAAUACUACUUAUUGCUAGGAAGCCUAGGAUUGAGAUCAUAGGGUUGUUGUUAGGCACAUGACCCUCACAAAAUGAUUGGCAUUGUUUGAAUCUACAUUAUUGUACAGGCAGUCGAUUUCAUAUAUAAAAAAAAGUCAAACUAAGAAGGUGUUUGUUUUCAUCUACGUAUCUGGGCAUGUGUUUUUAUUGGACUGUAAUGUUUAAAAGACUGAUGAACAGCAUGAAGGAACUGCUAACUUUUUGUGAAGUUCAAGCAA